CCUACGGGUGGCUGCAGUGGGGAAUAUUGGACAAUGGGCGGAAGCCUGAUCCAGCCAUGCCGCGUGUGUGAAGAAGGCCUUUUGGUUGUAAAGCACUUUAAGCGAGGAGGAGGCUACCUGGAUUAAUACUCUAGGAUAGUGGACGUUACUCGCAGAAUAAGCACCGGCUAACUCUGUGCCAGCAGCCGCGGUAAUACAGAGGGUGCGAGCGUUAAUCGGAUUUACUGGGCGUAAAGCGUGCGUAGGCGGCUGAUUAAGUCGGAUGUGAAAUCCCUGAGCUUAACUUAGGAAUUGCAUUCGAUACUGGUCAGCUAGAGUAUGGGAGAGGAUGGUAGAAUUCCAGGUGUAGCGGUGAAAUGCGUAGAGAUCUGGAGGAAUACCGAUGGCGAAGGCAGCCAUCUGGCCUAAUACUGACGCUGAGGUACGAAAGCAUGGGGAGCAAACAGGAUUAGAUACCCUAGUAGUC
This 466-nucleotide ribosomal RNA is filed under the name uncultured bacterium. RNAcentral's name for it is "bacterial SSU rRNA". It matches the Rfam family "Bacterial small subunit ribosomal RNA", at positions 338 to 795 of the family's 1533-position model. The record is from RNAcentral.